Molecule: ribosomal RNA, 510 nt
Filed under: uncultured bacterium
Lineage: Bacteria
Description: partial 16S ribosomal RNA
Rfam family: Bacterial small subunit ribosomal RNA
Source: RNAcentral
GACGAACGCUGGCGGCGUGCUUAACACAUGCAAGUCGAACGAAGAGCGAUGGAAGCUUGCUUCUAUCAAUCUUAGUGGCGAACGGGUGAGUAACGCGUAAUCAACCUGCCCUUCAGAGGGGGACAACAGUUGGAAGCGACUGCUAAUACCGCAUACGAUCUAACCUCGGCAUCGAGGAAAGAUGAAAGGUGGCCUCUAUGUAUAAGCUAUCACUGAAGGAGGGGAUUGCGUCUGAUUAGCUAGUUGGAGGGGUAACGGCCCACCAAGGCGAUGAUCAGUAGCCGGUCUGAGAGGAUGAACGGCCACAUUGGGACUGAGACACGGCCCAGACUCCUACGGGAGGCAGCAGUGGGGAAUCUUCCGCAAUGGACGAAAGUCUGACGGAGCAACGCCGCGUGAGUGAUGACGGCCUUCGGGUUGUAAAGCUCUGUUAAUCGGGACGAAAGGCCUUCUUGCGAAUAGUGAGAAGGAUUGACGGUACCGGAAUAGAAAGCCACGGCUAACUACGUG